ACAAUAUUUACUAAGGAUAUAGAAGUUUCAUAUUACAAAUUUGAAGAAUUUGCUUUCAAUUACUUUUAAGAGCCACAAAAUAAACAUGGGGGAGAACUUGGAAAGAAUUUGCAUAUGUUGUGGAUAUGGAUUCCUUCAUGUAGUAUCUGCUCAUAUAAAGCACCAGAAUGUGAAAUUGCAUAAUUGCAUUUCACAAGGUAUCAGAACACCCCAGUUAUGAUACAUUGUUCUGAUUAACAAUUUGGAUCUUUUUUUAACGCAAUGUUUUAUUUCAG
This 275-nucleotide unclassified non-coding RNA is filed under the name Hevea brasiliensis (rubber tree). The record is from RNAcentral. Lineage: Eukaryota; Viridiplantae; Streptophyta; Magnoliopsida; Malpighiales; Euphorbiaceae.